GGCCAUAUCCAGCUCACAUCUGAGGUAAAAUCACCGGUUCCCCCAUUGGCCCCGCUCACUUUUUUGUGUAAUUCUAGCGCAUCUAGGUUAUGUGCAUUAGCUUUCCAUACAAAGGGGGAAAUGAAAGGAAUGUGGCAGCCUCAAACCUUGGUUAGAUCAGUUCGUGCAAUUUUCCUUUUUCUUUGUGUACAGAUUUUAUUUUUAAUAAAAUUCUAGUAUGUAGUUCACCGAAAUGAAACAAAAUAGCGUGCUAUGGCAAAAUAGCGUCCCCUUGAAAUAUGCUAUUAGCAUGCUAUAUCACGCCAUAGCGUGCUAUUAGUGAGACAUUGUAUAUUGAUUUAUUUAGCGAGACAUUGCUCACAACACUAUAACAUGCUAUUAGCGACACUAUAACGCUUUUUCACUGAGUUCACCUACUAUUUCCCUAAAAAAAUAGCAUCAUCAUGUGGUUCAUCAGGGUCGGCUGGUAGUCCCUACCCUCUCGGACCUUGCGAUUAAUUAGUUAGGAUCCACAGAGGCACGAUUAAUUAAUUAGUUAAUUACGAUCCGCAAUCUUCCCAUAGAGUUUUUUGUGUGUGAUACUAUCUCCCAUGUUCAGGGUCUCUGUCAGCGUCGUUCAUUGUCAAUAAAGACAGUGAGAGAAGGGCAAUAUUGGCAUUUCAUAAAGUUGGUAUAUAUACAUAGUUCAUGUCAAUUAUAACUCCAAUCGAUCAGACAAAACAUUCGGAUGAGAUGUAGGCAUCAGUCCACUUGCUUUUUAUCUAUAGUGAUAUUAUAAUCAAAUUCUCUGUAUUUAACAGCAAGUUGCUAGCGUGUUGAACUUACUUGACCCACAUUGUCACAUUAAUUGAGAAGCCGUUGCUACAGUCCUACGACAGUUUUAAAUUUGAAUUUUAUUUUUGCCGGGUACACGGCACUACAAGACCACUGUCCCCUUUUACCAGAACAGACACCAAAAUACAUAUACAACCUAUGACAUCUCAAACAGGUUCAGUUAUAAUUUUCUGUUCGUUGCAACGAAGGCGAUAGCCAAAAUCUAAGACACAAAAAGUGGAACUUAAGAACAUGGUCUGCAAUGAACAGCAAAACGCAAGCAUACUACACACUGCGUCUCACACAAAAUCAGGUUUUCCUUACAAUGAAGGUUCGGGUUUUUACACGUUGCAGAACAUGCAAUUGCCAAAUAGACAGGUUUUUUUUAUGGAAACAAGUUCGUGCACUGGUGUACACAUGUAAGCAGUGCUUCCUUUAUUCGUAACAUAAUCAACUCCUAUAGGCAUCAAAUAGACAGGUUCCUUAUUUGAAGCAAAACCAGAUCAGGUCCUAAUGUUGCACUUUCACAUUCUACCCUGCAUACAAACACAAAAUCGUUCGAAUUACAAUUCAUGCAAAUCAAGUGAAAAUACAAAUGAAAAAAAUGUAUUUACUUUGCUUAUGCUAAGACCAUAAGUACUGAUAUAAGAUAGUAACAUAAACUGAGAAACGGUUUUGAUCGGCAAACAGGCAUGUGUCCAUGUUAUUAAGGUGGAGUAUAUGACAAGUCUCUAAAUGCAAUAUUUCUACAUAUAAUCAAAGGUGAAGUGGUACCACCAGUACUCAGUUUAUAGAUGGACAAUCCAUGAGAAACAUAAUUGACAGCUUGUCAGCACUUUUGUGACUACGAGAUGAUAAUGAUGAAAGGGAGGCCAAAAGACUUACAAAAUAUUUUCUCCUUGUGUUUGCUAGGAGGAAAAUGUUGGAGCAAAGUAGGGAACAAAUCUCCCCGAGCUACUCUGGUUCCACCAUUCUUCGCUGCAAUCUAUCUUGAUCAUACUCUGCUUGUACUUUUGAUUUUGGAUAUCCUUCAUCUCAUUGCACCGGGUUACACAAAUAUAGGACAAUUCUUCGAAUUCACAAGCUUGAUUGCAUAUCACGGAUAGCUUUGGCAGAUCUUCCAAUUUAAGCUUUUUCAACCAAGAGAAAAUUAUUGUCGCUGUUUGAUGCAUGCUGCCACCUUGCGGCAACUCUCCAGUGGCAAUCAAACUUUCCAUGUCCUGGCAUUGUGCAACUGUGAGCUGCUCAAGGCGCUUAAGGUGAUGAACCCAUGUCACAUCUUUCAGUUUGUCACAUUUAUAGAUGCUAACAACUCUGAUGUUCAUCCCUGCAUUUUUCCAUACCACUUUCUCUAGCUUUAGAAGAUUGUUCAAUUCAAACAUUUCUAGGUAAGGAAGCAGACAUUGGUUGUAAUUAGGACCACCUUCAACUUCCAAUGCCUUCCGACUGUGGAAGCUCGCCACAAUAGCCAACUCUCGCAGUUCUUUUAGUCUGGAUAAACAUUACAAGUUAAUAACAGUCAGAUCACUCUUGUCUUCAAAGUGGUCCAUGCAAAGUGCCUGUGUACAUACCCUUUUCAAACGCACCAAUUUUGUUAUAUCUGCUAUGGUCUGCACACUAAAGCCAAGCAUAUGCAGUUCUAUGGUAGAGUUUGUUAAUUCCUCCAGAAGCAUAUGCUGAGCCGGAGGGAAACUGACACCGGUACGAAAAAGGUCCAACCCUUGAAGCCUUUUUAGGUCCAACAAUAGUCCUUCUGUUAUUGUUUGAAGACCAAUGUUAUUUCUGACGUACAGAUACUUUAGUUUCAAGAGCUUCUUCAGUUCUGGAGGCAGGACGUCUAUAGUUGUUGCAGAAAGAUUGAGAUGUUGCAGCUCGGUCAGUUCACAUAUCUCAAAAGGGAAUCGGUCUCUUUUCGUCCCCUCCAAGUCUAAAAAAGUUAUCUUCUGAAAGUAACGAAUGAUCAGUUCAAGGGAGAACCCAUGUUGAGCCACCAACAUCUCCAGCUGUGGGAAAUAAACCUUGGAAGACCAUUGACCCCAUCUUGAUGUGUCUUCCUGUGAUACCCAGGCCUUCUCCACCGUGCCCCAUUUCUCUUCGGCUAAGGCUGGUCUAUAUGAAGAAUUUGGUAACCAUUUGUUCUUGUAUCCAUGUUCAUUCACAAUCCAGAUAGCCACCAUACGGAUCAUGUUGUGCAUCUUGACAUGUGAACUUUCUGUAGACUCAAGGCCAGUGUCACCUUUCUCCAACAUGGAUGCAUUUACCAAGCUAUUAAUGUAUGAAUAGCCCAUAUCACUAGCAUUAGACACAUCUAACAAACCAAGUCCUGUCCACCACCUUAUUAGUUUCUCCAUGGAUAUGUUACCAUUUUCAGGCCAUAAUGAGCAUAAUAAAAAAUGCUCCUUCAUGUCACUUGUCAUUUUAUCGUAACUUUCUUGUAGACGUUUGAAUAGAUCUUCAUGGCUACCAGUAAAUUGAUGGAGCUUUGAUUUCUUCAAUAGAUCUCUGGUGGUUCUCCAUUCCCUGGGAUCUUUCAAGACCGACACAAAUUUACCAAUUUUGCAUAAAGCCAUUGGUAAACCGCAGCACUCCUCAGCUAUCUGUUGACAAGUUUCAUAUAUCAGUUCAAAUAGUUGUAGGAAAUGGACUGGUACAGGUUCAUGAGAAAAAGUAUACAUACACAAUUAGAAAAAAAAUUGAAAUAAGUCAUAGUAAUAUAAUAUGAUACAUACAUGUACUUGCAAAAUUUGCAGAAAACAUGAUCAUAUGUGAGUUAUACAAAAAAACGAUUGCAGUAAUCUUUUGUAAUGCAACUAUGGACUUUUUGUGGUGCAUAUAUAGGCGUAUCUAUGUAUGGAAUAUAUUCACAUGUGCAUUGCACUUCCCUAUGUUAUAUAGUACCAUGAAUUGUUAUUUUAAAUUUAAAAGCACUUGACUAAACCCAAAUGGUUGUAGAUACACAUGGUUGUUCGAAACCCACCAUUUGCAAAAGUAAAUUUGGCAGCUAGUUACUACUGCACCACAUAUAAAUUCUCUCUCUUCAUUUUUGUAUUUUUAGAGUUCACCAAAAUUGUGAAAGAAAUCACUGAUGUAUCCAUGCUAUGUAUACUAUGAGCACAUACAAAACUUCAUGCAAAAAUCUGAUCAUGUGUAACCUACACAUGCAUGGCAACUAGUUGUACAAUAUAUGCCUUCACAUUUACCCAUAUUUGUAAUAAUACUAACUUUUCUGGGCUUUCUUAUGUAGUCGUAAAUGAUUGCAGGUCCAGCUGUUCUGAUGCAAAAUCAAUUCAUUUAAGGUUGCAUCUUUUUCUUACAUAGUGUAGACAGCAUAUACUAGUUCAAUGGUAGCAUCGCCUCCAUAGGCAAGAAAGUCCCCAAACAAAUAUUAACAAACUAUCAUAUAAUUAAAGCAUAAACUUAGCAUGUGUUAAUUAUGUUUUCUCAUUGUUUCUUUAAUUAUAUGGUAGGAUUUGGUUGGCUCUUUCAUUGCUCAAAUGGAUCUGGAACUAUUUAUUCGAACAUGCAAUCAUGUCGUACUAACCUCUUUUGCAAGUUCAUGAAUUUCCUCAUCAUCAUAGAUUUUACUUCCCACCUUCUGAGUGAAGAGAUUCCAUGCGUCUUGUUUACUCAAGCACUUCAUUUGGAUGGUAUCCUCGGGGCAGCAGCAUCCCAUCUUGCUACACACGUACAUGCUUCUUGUCGUGAAGACAACUUUACGUCGGUGUGGCUGUGCUGCAUCAAGCGACGGGAUGCCUACAUCAUCGAGAUCAAGAUCAUCCCAUAGAUCAUCCACCAACAAUAAGAAGCUCUUAUCUCUGAGGUGGUUAUGAAUGAUAUGUGCUUGGGAAAUUUGGUUUCCUAUCUGAGGUAUUGCUAUACUAAUGGCGAUAGCUUUUUGCAAAUCUGCAACUGUAGUGAAUCCCUUGACAGCUUGAACAAACAGUACUUUGGCGAAAUCAUCAUGGUACUUUGAACGAGAAUCACUUACCAGAUUGAUAAGGGUUGUCUUGCCCACACCUCCCAUGCCCCA
This 4843-nucleotide long non-coding RNA is filed under the name Triticum aestivum (bread wheat). Its description in RNAcentral is "long non-coding RNA (TAES_LNC028211)". Lineage: Eukaryota; Viridiplantae; Streptophyta; Magnoliopsida; Poales; Poaceae. The record is from RNAcentral.